UAGGGAAUCUUGGACAAUGGGCGCAAGCCUGAUCCAGCCAUGCCGCGUGAGUGACGAAGGCCUUCGGGUUGUAAAGCUCUUUUACCAGGGACGAUAAUGACGGUACCUGGAGAAUAAGUCCCGGCUAACUUCGUGCCAGCAGCCGCGGUAAUACGAAGGGGACUAGCGUUGUUCGGAAUUACUGGGCGUAAAGCGCACGUAGGCGGGAUGGUCAGUCAGAGGUGAAAUCCCAGAGCUCAACUCUGGAACUGCCUUUGAUACAACCAUUCUUGAGUCCGAUAGAGGUGAGUGGAAUUCCUAGUGUAGAGGUGAAAUUCGUAGAUAUUAGGAAGAACACCAGUGGCGAAGGCGGCUCACUGGAUCGGUACUGACGCUGAGGUGCGAAAGCGUGGGGAGCAAACAGGAUUAGAUACCCCCGUAGUCC
RNAcentral lists this ribosomal RNA (424 nucleotides) under uncultured bacterium. RNAcentral's name for it is "bacterial SSU rRNA". It matches the Rfam family "Bacterial small subunit ribosomal RNA", at positions 355 to 796 of the family's 1533-position model. The record is from RNAcentral.